GAUGAACGCUGGCGGCGUGCCUAAUACAUGCAAGUCGAGCGAACGGACGAGAAGCUUGCUUCUCUGAUGUUAGCGGCGGACGGGUGAGUAACACGUGGAUAACCUACCUAUAAGACUGGGAUAACUUCGGGAAACCGGAGCUAAUACCGGAUAAUAUUUUGAACCGCAUGGUUCAAAAGUAAAAGACGGUCUUGCUGGCACUUAUAGAUGGAUCCGCGCUGCAUUAGCUAGUUGGUAAGGUAACGGCUUACCAAGGCAACGAUGCAUAGCCGACCUGAGAGGGUGAUCGGCCACACUGGAACUGAGACACGGUCCAGACUCCUACGGGAGGCAGCAGUAGGGAAUCUUCCGCAAUGGGCGAAAGCCUGACGGAGCAACGCCGCGUGAGUGAUGAAGGUCUUCGGAUCGUAAAACUCUGUUAUUAGGGAAGAACAUAUGUGUAAGUAACUGUGCACAUCUUGACGGUACCUAAUCAGAAAGCCACGGCUAACUACGUG
RNAcentral lists this ribosomal RNA (497 nucleotides) under uncultured bacterium. RNAcentral's name for it is "partial 16S ribosomal RNA". It matches the Rfam family "Bacterial small subunit ribosomal RNA", at positions 28 to 507 of the family's 1533-position model. The record is from RNAcentral.